UCCACAAUAGGUAGAGGUCACCAGCAUAGGUCAGAGGGGAUAUUGUAUGUAACUGGUGACAUUUGAAAGAGACAUAUUGGACAGAAAUGACAUACGUGAAAGCUAAGAUACAAUAUAUUUAAUUUUCUAAGAAUUCAGUUCAAGGUAGUCUGCCUGGUUUCUCAAGUUCUGCAUGUUUCUUCAGUAGACUAAAUAAUGAUAAGGAAGCUGAGAUGUAGAGCUGAAGUGUCUUGCCCAAGAUCAUUUGUCUACCUAUGACCUGGCUCAACCCAGCUACAAGUUGUUAAUAAGAGGGAAGCAUAUCAGGAAAAUCUGAGUGCAAUGGUUUAGGAAUUGGGAAAGUAUAAAAGGUAUAGCACAACAGCACUAGACAACUGAGGUAGUCACCUACCUAAGGAGAGAUGCCAAGGACAAGUUGGCCAGCUAAACACUUUCUCCAGAAAUGGGAUUUAUAGUUUUGCUAAUUUCUUUAAUAUCAGAAGACAGCUGGAUUCUCAUUUCUGCUUCUGCAUUCAGUCUAUUGUGAUAUAGCAUAUCAUGUAACUUCUGAAAAACUUCACUGUACACAGAUGCUGACCUCACAGACUCCCUGAAAGGAUCUCCAUGACCUCUAUGGUUCCUUAGACUGCACUUUGAGAACUAUUGACGUACAGGGAAAAAUGCUCUUGGUGUUCCAGUUAAGCACAGAAUAAAAUCUGGACUGUGUCAGUUUGUAAAGAUCUUAUGUCUACUUGGUCAUCAGCCAAGAAGGGAUUCCGAAGAUAGAAGAGGAGGCAUCAACACCGUGAACAUCAUGGCUGAGUUAUUUUGUGAGAGGGAUAAGCCUAAAGUAAAAACCUUGGAUUUGCCUCUGUCCUUGAACAUGCUAUCUGGAAAGAGUUUUCUUAAAAGUAUUGUUGUGAACACAUCCAUUUUCCCAGUAUAGUUGAAUGCAGGGUUUAAUAAAUGGAAUGAAUCUAGUUUUAGUUCCUGUACUGCUUGUGCUUUCAAUAACCUCUAUAUUUGAAUAACACAUUUCAGUAGAUAUGUUUGUUAGCGUUGAACUUGUAAGUUGACGAAGAAAGGGUAGUACUACC
This 1076-nucleotide long non-coding RNA is filed under the name Homo sapiens (human). RNAcentral's name for it is "HSALNT0293230". The record is from RNAcentral. Lineage: Eukaryota; Metazoa; Chordata; Mammalia; Primates; Hominidae.